RNAcentral lists this ribosomal RNA (352 nucleotides) under uncultured soil bacterium. Its description in RNAcentral is "bacterial SSU rRNA". It matches the Rfam family "Bacterial small subunit ribosomal RNA", at positions 26 to 375 of the family's 1533-position model. The record is from RNAcentral.
AGAGUGAACGCUGGCGGUAGGCCUAACACAUGCAAGUCGAACGGCAGCACAGUGGUAGCAAUACCAUGGGUGGCGAGUGGCGGACGGGUGAGGAAUACAUCGGAAUCUACCUUUUCGUGGGGGAUAACGUAGGGAAACUUACGCUAAUACCGCAUACGCCCUUCGGGGGAAAGCCGGGGAUCGCAAGACCUGGCGCGGAUAGAUGAGCCGAUGUCGGAUUAGCUAGUUGGUGAGGUAAUGGCUCACCAAGGCGACGAUCCGUAGCUGGUCUGAGAGGAUGAUCAGCCACACUGGAACUGAGACACGGUCCAGACUCCUACGGGAGCAGCAGUGGGGAAUAUUGGACAAUGGG